GGAGGAUCCGAGCGUUAUCCGGAUUUAUUGGGUUUAAAGGGAGCGUAGAUGGAUGUUUAAGUCAGUUGUGAAAGUUUGCGGCUCAACCGUAAAAUUGCAGUUGAUACUGGAUAUCUUGAGUGCAGUUGAGGCAGGCGGAAUUCGUGUGUAGCGGUGAAAUGCUUAGAUAUCACGAAGAACUCCGAUUGCGAAGGCAGCCUGCUAAGCUGCAACUGACAUUGAGGCUCGAAAGUGUGGGUAUCAAACAGGAUUAGAUACCCUGGUAGUCCACACGGUAAACGAUGAAUACUCGCUGUUUGCGAUAUACAGCAAGCGGCCAAGCGAAAGCGUUAAGUAUUCCACCUGGGGAGUACGCCGGCAACGGUGAAACUCAAAGGA
RNAcentral lists this ribosomal RNA (378 nucleotides) under uncultured bacterium. RNAcentral's name for it is "bacterial SSU rRNA". It matches the Rfam family "Bacterial small subunit ribosomal RNA", at positions 527 to 908 of the family's 1533-position model. The record is from RNAcentral.